GUCCUUGCCGUAAACGAUGUAUACUUGAUGGAGUUGGGCUCAACCCUGACUGUGUCGUAGCUAACGCGAUAAGUAUACCGCCUGAGGAGUACGCUCGCAAGGGUGAAACUCAAAAGAAUUGACGGGGGCCCGUACAAGCAGUGGAGCAUGUGGUUUAAUUCGAUGCAACGCGAAGAACCUUACCCAGGCUCGAAAUGCAAAGGCAAUCGGCAGAGAUGCCGAGUUCCGCAAGGACUUUUGUAUAGGUGCUGCAUGGCUGUCGU
RNAcentral lists this ribosomal RNA (263 nucleotides) under uncultured bacterium. RNAcentral describes it as "partial 16S ribosomal RNA". It matches the Rfam family "Bacterial small subunit ribosomal RNA", at positions 793 to 1055 of the family's 1533-position model. The record is from RNAcentral.